UAACCUGCCUGGUAGCGGGGGAUAACUAUUGGAAACGAUAGCUAAUACCGCAUAACAGUAGAUGUUGCAUGACAUUUGCUUAAAAGGUGCAAUUGCAUCACUACCAGAUGGACCUGCGUUGUAUUAGCUAGUUGGUGGGGUAACGGCUCACCAAGGCGACGAUACAUAGCCGACCUGAGAGGGUGAUCGGCCACACUGAGACUGAGACACGGCCCAG
Molecule: ribosomal RNA, 217 nt
Filed under: uncultured bacterium
Lineage: Bacteria
Description: partial 16S ribosomal RNA
Rfam family: Bacterial small subunit ribosomal RNA
Source: RNAcentral